RNAcentral lists this long non-coding RNA (386 nucleotides) under Gossypium barbadense (sea-island cotton). RNAcentral describes it as "long non-coding RNA (GBAR_LNC019613)". Lineage: Eukaryota; Viridiplantae; Streptophyta; Magnoliopsida; Malvales; Malvaceae. The record is from RNAcentral.
UCCGAAAACAGGAACAGCACCAGGGGGAGGCGGCAUUCCAGGGCGUGGGGGUGGUGGAGCAGGCAUUCCAGGGCGUGGUGGUGGUGGACCAGGAGGUCCUCUCAUCAUUGAUCCCGGAGGUGGAACCAUUGGCCUCUGACCAUAUUGUGGUGGUGGGACAGGGAAUUGUUGAGGUGGCCUUACUCCAAAAGCAGGUGGUGGUACCUGUGGAGGAGGACCACGUUGCAUCUGAGGAGCCUGUGGUUGACCAGGGUAACCACCAGGUGGCAUUUGUCCAGGUGGACGGAUAACAGGAGGUGCUCCACUAGCAGCAGGGUAAGUCAUAGGCGGAGCUGACAGUUGCGGAACCGGCGGCCGUGAAAUCUGGGGCUGCAUCAUCCCAGGAG